RNAcentral lists this long non-coding RNA (2547 nucleotides) under Hordeum vulgare. RNAcentral describes it as "long non-coding RNA (HVUL_LNC000302)". The record is from RNAcentral. Lineage: Eukaryota; Viridiplantae; Streptophyta; Magnoliopsida; Poales; Poaceae.
UGCUACUAGCUACUAGUAUUCAGAGGCAUCGUGGGGGUUCUGUAUCUCUUAACCUGCUGUUGUUGGUCUUCCUCUGCUCUUCACAACCGAGUGCUCCCUUCCUCUCAUCUCAGUCUCUUCUCCAUUGCGCUGUCUGGAAGGAAUAGAUCGAUACGCCUUUGUUGUUUGGUGAGCUCAUCCAACCUCCGAGCUCGCCCCUGCCAACUGUGGAGGUAUAUUUCUUUCUAGCUGAAGUACGCUUGGAUCUAAAAACAUGCGUCUCCUGCUUCACUGCUUGGGAGUCUGAUUUGUGUUGAUUGAAUCAUUUGGGGUUGUUAGGACAUAAGACCGUGGCGAUGAACGUGACGUGGCUGGUACGUAUAUGGGCGCGCACCAGGCACGUCGGAUGCAUCGGGUUCACGGGCUAGGUGUGCGUGUGUGGGCGUGUGUGUCGCACGGGGGUGACCAGGUGCGUGCGCAUCGUAGGCGUAGGCGUAGGGGAAGGCUGUUGGCGAACCAUGCGGCGAUCUGGUGCACAUCCGUUGGAGCUGGCCGCGAGCUGCGCGCGGGAGCGCGUCGUGGCGGGAGCGCGGCGAGCGGAUCGUGGGCACGAGAGGGCAGGGAGUGAGGGUGCGUGCCCGGUCACUGACCCUGGGUAUAAAGCUGUACGGUGACGUUGUAAUGGUGCUAGACAUCGAGUUCGUGCUCGAGGGAAUACAAGGGAGGCGUUCGUGCGCCGGGAAAACCUAGGUCUACCCCGUCUACCCCUCCUUCUUCUUCCUUGCGAUCGUCGGCUCGAGUAGCAGAGAGGGACAGCAGGCAGGGGAGGGCGAGCCGGCUAGGGUAGACUCCAACACUUGGUAUCAGAGCCUCCGCUCGAGAGCUCGCCAGCGGCGAUGGCAAUGGUGCCACACGGCGGUGGCGCGGGCGGUUUGGUGUCGUAGCCGAUGCCGAUGCUCACGUCGGACAACUACACGGUGUGGGCCAUCAGGGCGCAGGCAAUCCUCGACGUCCACACCGUGUUGGAGGCAGUGGCGUCGGGCGACGCGGCGGUGAACGCGAGGAAGGACAAGGCGGCGCGCGCUUUGCUCCUGGGAGCGUUGCCGGAGGACGUCCUGCCGCAGGUGGCGACGAAGCCCACCGCCAGGGAGGUAUGGGACUCCCUGAAGGUGAGGUUUGUCGGCGCCGAUCGAGUGCGCGCGGCGAGACUGGCGACGCUGCCCGGAGAAUUCGAUCGACUGAAGAUGGCGGACGGCGAGGCGCUGGACGUGUACGCCGGGAGGCUGGCGGGGAUGACGGCGCGGUACGCGAACCUCGGGGAGACACUGGACGACGAGGCACUGGUGAAAAAGCUACUGGACACCGUGCCGGAUCGCCUGUUCCCCGUCGUCGUUGGCAUCGAACAGUUCUGCGACCCGGCAACCAUGGCGUUCGAUGAGGCGCUAGGGCGGCUGCGUGUGUUCGAGGAGCGAGUCCAGCGUCGGGGACAGGACGACGGUGAGCGUGGCGGAGAACAGCUAAUGCUCACGGCGGAACAAUGGCGUGCGCGGGAACGACGCGGGCGUGCCGGUGCGAGGGACGACGAUGACGAUAGGAGCGUGGCGUCGAGCGCUCGAGGGAAUCAUCGCGGGCGUUGCUACCACUGCAACGAACGCGGCCACUUCAAGAGGGAGUGACCGAGGCGGGAGAAAGUGGCGGCGCCGGAGCGAGCUUUGAUGGGGGAGAUCGACGUCGAGGACGUCGGGCUUCUCUAGGCCACGGUCACGGGGGUGAUUGUUAGGACAUAAGACCGUGGCGAUGAACGUGGCGUGGCUGGUACGUGUAUGGGCGCGCACCAGGCACGUCGGGUGCAUCGGGUUCACGGGGUAGGUGUGCGUGUGUGGGCGUGUGUGUCGCACGGGGGUGACCAGGUGCGCGUGUAUCGUAGGCGUAGGCGUAGGGGGAGGCUGUUGGCGAACCGUGUGGCGAUCUGGUGCAUAUCCGUUGGAGCUGGCCGCGAGCUGCGCGCGGGAGCGCGUCGUGGCGGGAGCGCGGCGAGCGGAUCGUGGGCACCAGAGGGCAGGGACUGAGGGUGCGUGCCCGGUCACUGGCCCUGGGUAUAAAGUUGUACGGUGACGUUGUAAUGGUGCUAGACAUCGAGUUCGUGCUCGAGGGAAUACAAGGAAGGCGUUCGUGCGCCGGGAAAACCUAGGUCUACCCCGUCUACCCCUCUUUCUUCUUCCUUGCGAUCGUCGGCUCGAGUAGCAGAGAGGGACAGCAGGCAGGGGAGGGCGAGCCGGCUAGGGUAGACUCCAACAGGGGUGGCAGUGAAACAGCAAGCAAGAACCAUGGAGUUUCCCCUAACCCGGCUAGAGGCCUCGUAAUCUGCUGACCCUCUCUUCCAGAUCGAGAGAGCGACCGCCGCCGCUAUGUCUGCCUCUGCUGUGAAGCGCCAAAGGUGUGGGCUUGGUCCAGAUCUAGCCAAAUUUUAGUUUGUAACUCAGUUCUAGAGCUUGGAUUGCAUUACAGCUCCCCUCAUUCAUCGAUUUGCAGGUUUCUAGCUGAUUGGUUGUAAAGAGAGCUGCUCAU